AUGUCACUAAAGACAAAAGAUUAUACUCACCCUAUUUUCUGCAUGAAGGAAUACAGUCUCACAAAUAAACCAUCGCUUUUUGAGAUGUGGCAGAGAAACAGCAUUCUCAGUCUACCACUCCCUCAGAGGACUCCAGGAGGAUGUGGAAUUGAUGCAUCAUCCCAGAAGCACUCUAAAGACUACCCGGCAGGACUUUCCAGCAGCCAGAGUGGACAUCCUAUAAAGCCUCGCUUCCCAUCUGGGUCACAAAAAGAUGGAAGAGACUCAGUGCUGUCUGAAAAACUGUGCAGCUCCUGAAAUCCAUUUUCUCUUCCCUCGUUGAACUGGAAGGCAAACGUUCACCAUUUUUUGUAGACCAUGCUGUUCUAGAUGCUGAAGCUUAUGUUUAAGGUAACUUUCAAUUUUUCCAAAUGAAAUUAUCAAAGCAGCACUCUCCUGAUGCUCAAAAAUCCCAUGUAACAACCUCUAUCUUGUAUCUUCUCCCAUGGGUGG
Molecule: long non-coding RNA, 492 nt
Filed under: Papio anubis (olive baboon)
Lineage: Eukaryota; Metazoa; Chordata; Mammalia; Primates; Cercopithecidae
Description: lncRNA (ENSPANG00000048043.1)
Source: RNAcentral